RNAcentral lists this ribosomal RNA (253 nucleotides) under uncultured bacterium. Its description in RNAcentral is "partial 16S ribosomal RNA". It matches the Rfam family "Bacterial small subunit ribosomal RNA", at positions 524 to 776 of the family's 1533-position model. The record is from RNAcentral.
UACAGAGGCCACGAGCGUUAGGCGGAAUCACUGGGCUUAAAGCGUGUGUAGGUGGAUGACUAAGUACCUUGUGAAAUCCCACGGCUCAACCGUGGAACUGCUUGGUAUACUGGUUGUCUUGAGGCACUCAGGGGCGAGCGGAACAAAUGGUGGAGCGGUGAAAUGCGUAGAUAUCAUUUGGAACGCCAAUGGUGAAGACAGCUCGCUGGGGGUGUACUGACACUGAGACACGAAAGCCAGGGGAGCGAACGGG